Long non-coding RNA from Anolis carolinensis (green anole), 3091 nucleotides. RefSeq lists it as uncharacterized. The record is from RefSeq and is a predicted model, not a curated record. The transcript is spliced from 5 exons. NCBI's taxonomy places the organism in Eukaryota, Metazoa, Chordata, Lepidosauria, Squamata, Anolidae.
UGUUAGAAUUGGGCAUUGGAUUAUACGUGGUUUGUUAUAUUGAUAUUGAUACUAUACAUAAGUCUACCAUUAUUCAUUGUGUAAACGACAGGAACGGAGUUACGGUCAAUCAUCAGGUUUAUUUAAACCCAAUUCAGAUUCAAGCCAAUUUUGAAUUAUAUGUAUUUACCUGUACAGUUGGAAUAUAUAAACUGAUACUACAAUCAUAAUAUAUAAGUGACUAUAUCACUAUAGAAGUAUAUAAUUAUAACAUAACAUACUUUAUAUUAUAUUAUAUACCAUACUUUUCCUUUUUUCCUUUUUGCUGUAUAUAAUAGACAUCUGUGCAUAUAGCUGGCUGUGGGGACUGCCUGCUUGGAUUCCGAAUGUAGAUCCCAGAAGACUGUGUCCAUGUUUCCAUAUUUGCAGAGGUCCAGAGUUUUCAGUAAGAUCCAGACAUUUGCAGGUAUUUUAGGUGAAACAUUCUAAUCCUUAGAGGAAAGCAAUGACAAGCCUCUUCGAGCACUUACCACCCCCCACUCCCUGGCAAUAAAUCCCUUUGAUAGGUUUGCCUUAGGGUCACCAUAAGCCAGAAAUGGUAUAAACCACACAAGAGCAGCAAAAUGUAAAGGCAAACUGACGGUGACAUUUCCCGUUUUCUCUCUUGCUGUCCCAGUACGGCAGGACAGAACAGGGACAAUGAAGCUCUAGGUUUGAUUUCAAGCAACAGAUGACAUGAACUUUUCAUCAACAUGUUGACACAUGAGAAAAAUAAAGCCUCAGAGCCAAAGCAUUGGCAUCUGGUGGAGAGAAGAUGGGAGUUUUAUGUGACUGGGAAGGUGAUGAAAGGAGCAGAUUGGCCUGAGGAGCUAUAAAGAGAGAGUUCAUGGUCAUGGCUACUGUUUUCCUCUCUUCCCUUUGAAAGCCAUUCAUAAAGUAUGCAAUUGCUUCUCUGUUCCAUAAGUGGCACCAAAUUCCCUUCUCUAUUUGGAGGAAGGAAUCUACCCCACCAGUUUUCAGCUUGGAGACUUGCAAGGCGACUAAGUGAAGGCUAAAGAGACCCAGCACUUUAAGCCGCUCCUCAGAGGGAUUCAUCCACUCCAGACCUUUGACGAUUUCACUGACAUGGCUCAGUGCUAUUUUUUGUGUCAGGAGUUACCUGAGAAACUGCAAGUCACUUCUGGUGUGAGAGGAUUGGCUGUCUGCAAGGGCGUUGCCCAGAGGACUCCUGGAUGUUUUGAUGUUUUACCAUCCUUUUGGGAGGCUUCUCUCAUGUAACUGCAGCUGGAACUGACAGAGGGAGCUCAUCCAUGCUCUCCCCGAAUUCAAACCGGCAACCUUCAGGUUAGCAAUGCAACCUUCAAGUCAGAAGUCCUGCCAGCAGAAAGGUUUAACCCAUUGCACCAUCAGGGGUUAUGGUAUAAUGGGAGUUUUAGUUUUGAAAGGUCCUUAGCCUUCUCUGCUAAAGAGUACUGGACCCUCACUGAACUGCAAAUCUCAGGAUUUCAUAGCAUUGAGUGAUGACAGUUGAAAUGGUGUCAAGCUGUGUUCAUUCUUCAGUACAGAUGAACCCAAGUGUCAUGAGUUGGGACUCACACCCCUUCCACACAGCUGUAUAAAAUCCACAUUAAACCAAAUUAUAUGGCAAUGUAGACUCAGAUAAUCCAGGUCAAAGCAGAUAUGGUGGAUUAUCUGCCUUGAUAUUCAGGGUUAUAUGGCUGUGUGGAAGGGCCUCCAGACUCUGAGAAGGAGAAGAACCUUGCAGCUUACUCUGUGGCAGUCCCAGAAAAACAAUUGCUAUGAACAAACCUUUGAAACAGCUGGAACAAUAAGAGGAAGACAAGUGGUCCUCAAGUCUUCAGAACUAGAGAAGGAAGCAGAGAAGUGCUAGUCUCUGGGGCUCUUAAUUAUGGGCAAGGGGCUGUAGACAAUUUAAGAAACAGAUCUGAUUUCUGUUUCUUGGUGGAAACAGUUGUCUGCUUUCCGCCGCUGACUUGAUGUUCCUACAUUCCUGCUCUAGAUUCCUGAGUUCCUGGCUUUUGGAUUGGUUGAUCUUGCUUGAUUCUUUGACCUUCUGACUGACUGAUGAUCUUGUUUGACUCACAGACCUCAAGGUGGUUUGACUUCUUGCCUUUGUAUCAUCCUUGCACACAGAUUCUUAUAGGAUGGAUAAGUCGCCUUGAAUCAUGAGUUCCCAUGGUGUUUGGUAUUCCCGUCUUUGUCAUCAGAAUGAUGUGUUCUUAUGGGCGUUCUCUGGCAGGGGAUGCAAAAAAGCAACAUUUAAUCUAGCCUGCCAGCUAGCCUGGAAGAAAAUGAAUGCAAAGCUGAAGGCAUCUGUUUUCACAGGGAAAAUGCUCCUCUGUUUGAUGGGCUGGGCUAUUCCAAAUGCAGUUUGAAAAUAAAGCAGUCUAAGGAUGGAACACAAUUCUUUAAACUGAAGCCAUGAGCUCUGGAAUAGUACAUCAUGAAUGUUGUUGCUAUGAACUUUCAAGUCAACUCUUCCAUAUGGAGACCCAACCAUAGUGUUUAUUGCCAAGCUAUAUUUAGCAGAAUUUUGCUAUACUAUUUCUACUGAGGCCGAAGGACCACAGUUUUUUCAAGGAUGCCCUGGGAUAUUCCAUGGCUGAGUUGGGAUUCAUACUCUGAUCUCCCUGAGUCCUCCCACAUGUUCCAGGGUUGAAAAGAGGCUGAAAUGUCCUGAAAGGAGGGAACUCUGUACACAGGCCAGCAACUGAAAAACAGGUGUGAUGGAAACCAUCAACAUUUCCCAUCCUCUUUCAUUGCCCAACCAUCCGCAGUCUCUUGUAUCCUAUGGGGUUCUAUGCAGAUCAAUAGAAUUCAACUGAAAGCAAUGGUUUUAACCUGGGUCACUGUCUCUUUUAUCCUCUAGGGUUCCAUGCAGAUCAAUAGGAUCCCAUGGAAAGCAAUAGUUUUAACCUGGACCACUGCCUCUUGUAUCUUCUGGGGUUUGAUGCAGAACCAUAAGAUCCCAUGGAAAGAAAUGGUUUUUAACUGGUGUCAUUCUCCUUUAAUCUAAGGGGCAUUGGGCAGGGCAAGGGAUCUCUUGCUUUUUGAAUAUUGUUGUUUCUCCUGAUUAAAAACAAAAAAGUAA